Molecule: ribosomal RNA, 253 nt
Filed under: uncultured bacterium
Lineage: Bacteria
Description: partial 16S ribosomal RNA
Rfam family: Bacterial small subunit ribosomal RNA
Source: RNAcentral
UACGUAGGGUGCAAGCGUUAAUCGGAAUUACUGGGCGUAAAGCGUGCGCAGGCGGUGAUGUAAGACAGGUGUGAAAUCCCCGGGCUUAACCUGGGAACUGCAUUUGUGACUGCAUCGCUGGAGUGCGGCAGAGGGGGAUGGAAUUCCGCGUGUAGCAGUGAAAUGCGUAGAUAUGCGGAGGAACACCGAUGGCGGAGGCAAUCCCCUGGGCCUGCACUGACGCUCAUGCACGAAAGCGUGGGGAGCAAACAGG